AGUGAACGCUGGCGGCAGGCCUAACACAUGCAAGUCGAACGGCAGCACAGUAAGAGCUUGCUCUUACGGGGGGCGAGUGGUGGACGGGUGAGGAAUACAUCGCAAUCUACUUCUUCGUGGGGGAGAACGCAGGGAAACUCACGCUAAUACGGCAUACGACCUACGGGUGAAAUCAGGGGAUCUUCGGACCUUGCGCGAGUGAACGAGCCGAUGUCGGAUUAGUUAGUUGGCGGGGUACAGGCCCACCAACGCGGCGAUCCGUAGCUGGUCUGAGAGGGUGAACAGCCACACUGGGGGUGAGGCGCGGUCCAGACUCCUAGAGGAGGCAGCAGUGGAGAAUAUUGGACGAUGGGGGCAAGCCUGAUCCAGCGGUACCGGGUGGAUGCAGAGGGCCUUCGGGUUGUAGAACCCUUUUGUUGGGAGAGAAGAGCAGCGGGUUAAUAGCCGGCUAUUCUGACGGUACCCAGAGAAGAAGCACCGGCUAACUUCGUG
Molecule: ribosomal RNA, 492 nt
Filed under: uncultured bacterium
Lineage: Bacteria
Description: partial 16S ribosomal RNA
Rfam family: Bacterial small subunit ribosomal RNA
Source: RNAcentral